RNAcentral lists this transfer RNA (78 nucleotides) under Candidatus Kerfeldbacteria bacterium. Its description in RNAcentral is "tRNA-Pro". It matches the Rfam family "tRNA". Rfam says of the family: Transfer RNA (tRNA) molecules are approximately 80 nucleotides in length. The record is from RNAcentral. Lineage: Bacteria; Candidatus Kerfeldiibacteriota.
CGGGGUGUGGCCCAGUUGGUCUAAGGCACAUGCAUGGGGUGCAUGGGAUCGGGAGUUCAAAUCUCCCCACCCCGACCA